RNAcentral lists this ribosomal RNA (393 nucleotides) under uncultured bacterium. RNAcentral describes it as "bacterial SSU rRNA". It matches the Rfam family "Bacterial small subunit ribosomal RNA", at positions 355 to 746 of the family's 1533-position model. The record is from RNAcentral.
UAAGGAAUAUUGGUCAAUGGAGGCAACUCUGAACCAGCCAUGCCGCGUGCAGGAAGACUGCCCUAUGGGUUGUAAACUGCUUUUAUGCCAGAAUAAACCUUGAUUCGUGAAUCAAGCUGAAUGUAUGGUAAGAAUAAGGAUCGGCUAACUCCGUGCCAGCAGCCGCGGUAAUACGGAGGAUCCAAGCGUUAUCCGGAUUUAUUGGGUUUAAAGGGAGCGUAGGCGGCCUUUUAAGUCAGAGGUGAAAACUUGCAGCUCAACUGUAAGCGUGCCUUUGAUACUGAAGGGCUUGAAUAAACUUGAGGUAGGCGGAAUGUGACAAGUAGCGGUGAAAUGCAUAGAUAUGUCACAGAACACCAAUUGCGAAGGCAGCUUACUAAGGUUUAAUGACGC